Molecule: transfer RNA, 82 nt
Filed under: Glycomyces niveus
Lineage: Bacteria; Bacillati; Actinomycetota; Actinomycetes; Glycomycetales; Glycomycetaceae
Description: tRNA-Leu
Rfam family: tRNA
About the family: Transfer RNA (tRNA) molecules are approximately 80 nucleotides in length.
Source: RNAcentral
GCGCGAGUGGCGAAACUGGCAGACGCGCAGGAUUUAGGUUCCUGUGUCCUCGGACGUGGGGGUUCAAGUCCCCCCUCGCGCA